UCGCCUGGCAGAGGAGGGUGCCUCUGGUCCCAGGUCACACGGCCGACCUGGAGCUCUGGGCCCGGGGAUCCAGGGGCCUUGGGGUGGGGAAGGCUGGGCAGGAGCAGCAAUGUCUGUGCAGGUGGCAGCCCCUGGAAGCACGGGGCUGGGCCCAGAGCGCCUGAGCCCUGAGGAGCUGGUGCGGCAGACACGUCAAGUGGUACAGGGUCUGGAGGCGCUGCGGGCGGAGCACCGUGGCCUGGCAGGGCACCUGGCGGAGGCCCUGGCGGGACAAGGCCCGGUGGCUGGCUGGGAGAUGCUGGAGGAAAAGCAGCAGGUGGUGAGCCACUCGCUGGAGGCCAUCGAGCUGGGGCUGGGUGAGGCCCAGGUGCUGCUGGCCCUGUCGGCACAUAUGGGCACACUGGAGGCAGAGAAGCAGCGGCUGCGGGCGCAGGCCCGGCGGCUGGCCCAGGAGAACGUGUGGCUUCGGGAGGAACUGGAGGAGACACAGCGGCGGCUUCGGGCCAGCGAGGAGGCUGUGGCCCAGCUGGAGGAGGAGAAGAACCACCUGGAGUUCCUGGGACAACUGCGACAGUAUGACCCAUCUCCAGAAAGCCAGCAGUCUGAGUCCCCGCCUCGCCGAGACAGCUUGGCCUCCCUGUUCCCCACCGAGGAGGAGAAGAAAGGUCCAGAGGCUGCAGGAGCAGCAGCGGCUCAGCAGGGCGGCUAUGAGAUCCCCGCCCGACUUCGGACCCUGCAUAACCUUGUGAUCCAGUACGCGGGGCAGGGCCGCUAUGAGGUGGCAGUGCCUCUGUGCCGCCAGGCCUUGGAGGACCUGGAGCGCAGCUCCGGCCACUGCCACCCUGACGUGGCCACCAUGCUGAACAUCCUGGCACUGGUGUACCGGGACCAGAACAAGUACAAAGAAGCUACAGACCUUCUCCAUGAUGCCCUGCAGAUCCGGGAGCAGACGCUGGGCCCUGAGCACCCCGCGGUGGCCGCCACGCUCAACAACUUGGCUGUCCUCUAUGGGAAGCGCGGGCGUUACCGGGAGGCAGAGCCCCUGUGCCAGCGUGCUUUGGAGAUCCGAGAGAAGGUCCUAGGCGCUGACCACCCAGAUGUGGCCAAGCAGCUCAACAACCUGGCCCUGCUGUGCCAGAACCAGGGCAAGUUUGAGGACGUGGAGCGGCACUACGCCCGGGCCCUGAGCAUCUACGAGGCCCUGGGUGGGCCCCACGACCCCAAUGUGGCCAAGACCAAGAACAACCUGGCCUCAGCCUACCUGAAACAGAACAAGUACCAACAAGCAGAAGAGCUAUACAAAGAAAUCCUCCACCGAGAGGACCUGCCUGCCCCGCUCGGUGCCCCCAACACAGGCACAGUGGGUGACGCAGAACAGGCCCUCCGCCGCAGCAGCUCUCUCUCCAAGAUCCGUGAGUCUAUCCGCCGCGGAAGUGAGAAGCUGGUGUCCCGUCUCCGAGGCGAGGGGGCCGCCGGGGCAGAAUGAAGAGAGCCAUGUCACUCAACACACUGAACGUGGAUGGCCUGAGGGCUCCUGGGACUCAGUUCCCCAGCUGGCACCUGGAGAAGCUCCCUCGGAACCUCAGCGCCAGCACGCAGGACCUGAGCCCACGCUAGCGUCGAGUCAACAGCACUGGCUGCGGCUCUUCGGGAACAGUUCAGGAGGGAGGGGCUGCAGGGGUCUGUCAGCUCCUGGACUCCCCUGCCUCUGGGUACCUGAUGGAAAGCUACCGUCUCCUUCGAUUAAAGGCUGUGGAUGUCACA
This is an RNA transcript of Sapajus apella (tufted capuchin), 1764 nucleotides long. It is a transcript of the gene named kinesin light chain 3, with no coding region annotated. The transcript has 13 exons. NCBI's taxonomy places the organism in Eukaryota, Metazoa, Chordata, Mammalia, Primates, Cebidae. The record is from RefSeq and is a predicted model, not a curated record.